GUCAUGGAGCAGAAAACCAAACCACUGUUCAGUCAAAGUAUUUCAAAACGUAGGUUGUUCACGAAGCAGGGAACCAAACACUGUUCAGUCAGUCUUGCAAAACAUAUUUUGACAACAGAGCAUGGAACAAAGCGUUGAUAAGUCAAAGUCUUGCAAUCAUGUGUUGAUCUUGGAGCAAGGAACCAAAGCAAUGUUUAGUACUACAAGGUCAAAUUUCCGGCGUUCUAUCUAAAUGGCCAGUAACUAUAUGACCUUGGCGUCUGUAGCCAGUGGCUGAAGUCCAUCAGUCUUUAUGAUGCUGCGCUCAUGGAACCUGGGAAACUGUCAAAGAGCAAAUGUGAUUGACAAGAAAGGGACUUCUGUAGCUGUUGAUCAUCGGGGGCGUAAAUGCACUUCCUGUCGUUACCGACGCCGACGACAGUCCACUUUGUCCCGGUAGAAUCAUUGGCUGAGCUAGAGAACUUAUGGAGGUGAAGGACGUUAACGGGUGGCCAUAAGGAGCGACCCCCAGGGAAGCAAUUGGCAUCACAGGGGUCAUAUUUGGGCCAACCUUCUCCCCCUUACAUCAGACGAAUAAACUUAACCUGUGUUAGCUAAGGACAUUGUUGAUCAAGUAGCGCCAAAUCGUCAUUUCUGCAAUCUGAUUCGCUAUGACAGUGUAGAGGGCGUUUUUCAACGCAAAUGACCGACAUCUGCCGAAUACACAUGACGUCAUAUUACGUAACAACCACUAUACGGCGAAACCAAUAAUACUUCUAUUGAUUACCAUCGACUCCGUAACUGUUAGGUUACGCAAUCGCCCAGGGCUGUAUUGGUUUUAGCCGAAUGUUUAUCUAUAACUGGGUCGCUCGGUCCAUAGAAAUUAUACAGGUAUAUAGCAAAUAUUAUAUGACCGUCGUCUGGCUUGGAGUUAAUUAAGAGUCCGAAGUGAAAUAAGCGAGACUAAUUCUUUUAUUUGUUUUGCGUAACGUGUUGCAUUUCUGCACAAUACAUCUACGAGCAAGAGGUUAACCUGUCUGGGACGAUAUUGCAAAGUAUUGUAGCCGUUUAAAGAUUAGUAAAAUGUUGUAACAAAAAAUGUUGUUUUUUUUAGACAAAUGUUUGUGAACUGCGUAGUUUCUACCCACAGUGAAUGUGAACAGCUAAAUUUAGAAAUAUACUUGCUAUUUUUAUGAGGGACACGUUAUAAUAAAUUUUAGAAAAGCUACCAAAGAUAUUUUGAUGGUGAAAAGUGUUCUGAAAAAUUUCCUUUAAAAACCAAAACGGACAUUUAACUGCCUCAGUAUUCAGGAGAACAACAAAAAUCCGAGUGCGCGUGCUGUUGAAUAAAACGAAACGCCUAUAUAAAUUCUGUUUCUACAUGCUAAAGAUAUUCAUAAGCAUUGUCAUUUUUGCAGUGUAACUUUAUUGUCUUAAGUAUUUUGUCAAAGAUGCAGUUUUAACAAAAAAAGAAGCAACGCCCACUGUUGACUAAGGCGGACAAAUACUGUUCAUUUUGAUUCAGGAAUCAUGGUUAUAACAAACAAAUAAAACAAGUAUCGGCACAUCCCAGGUUGAGUUAUAUCAAUCCUUUUUAUAAACUUAAUAAUCUUACAACUAGUUGUUUAAAAUGUCAGAAAGGGGAGGUUUGGGCACCAGCUUUUGCCUGCCUUUGCCACAUUGAGUGCGAGAUUCAAAUCGUACUCAGGAAUGUAUUGUACCAUAACACGUGUAUGGCAGCUAGAGACGUAAGUGUCAAGCACGUGCAUUGAUAACAUUUUUCACUGAUUAAAAAGAAAUGAUGUUUCAAAGUGUAUGCGUUCUGUUUACAGUGAUGUUUAAACAGAAUGUGUCAUCAAUAUUUGCACAUGAACAAUUAAAUGUUGACAAAACUUCUUCUAAAGGAAAUAGACUGAUCCGGGUCUUAGGUUACAAAUAAACUCGUGUAUAUAUUUUAUUGUGUCUUUUUUUUCGAUAUACAAGUUCAGCGCAUUCUAAAAACAAGGUCAUUUGGCACAGAAGUAAAUGACCACGUGCACCUAAGGAAGCAAUUUUCAACUUUGAUAUAUGUUGAGAUAAAAUUCUGCACCUGUCCAGUUUAGAAUCUUCACAGACGGAGUCAUCAACGGUACAUCACCGUGCACAUGCGCCGUCAGUCAAA
Mercenaria mercenaria is the source of this 2140-nucleotide long non-coding RNA. RefSeq lists it as uncharacterized. The transcript is spliced from 5 exons. Lineage: Eukaryota; Metazoa; Mollusca; Bivalvia; Venerida; Veneridae. The record is from RefSeq and is a predicted model, not a curated record.